This 272-nucleotide ribosomal RNA is filed under the name uncultured bacterium. Its description in RNAcentral is "partial 16S ribosomal RNA". It matches the Rfam family "Bacterial small subunit ribosomal RNA", at positions 524 to 794 of the family's 1533-position model. The record is from RNAcentral.
UACGAAGGGGCGUAGCGUUGUUCGGAAUUACUGGGCGUAAAGCGCGCGCAGGCGGUCUUGUAAGUCAGAGGUGAAAUCCCUGGGCUCAACCCAGGAACUGCCUUUGAGACUGCGAGGCUUGAGGACGGGAGAGGUGAGUGGAAUUCCCAGUGUAGAGGUGAAAUUCGUAGAUAUUGGGAAGAACACCAGUGGCGAAGGCGACUACCUGGACUGAUACUGACACUGAGAUACGAAAGCGUGGGGAGCAAACAGGAUUAGAUACCCCCAGUAGU